RNAcentral lists this long non-coding RNA (3140 nucleotides) under Lactuca sativa (garden lettuce). RNAcentral's name for it is "long non-coding RNA (LSAT_LNC005416)". Lineage: Eukaryota; Viridiplantae; Streptophyta; Magnoliopsida; Asterales; Asteraceae. The record is from RNAcentral.
AAAGAAGAAAGUUAUAAAGAAAAUGGGAAGAAGUAUAUAAUUCAAAAUAUCCAGACUUAUAGUUGUGUUUGUUAGAUCAGUGUCCACAAGAAUAACAGCCUAACUGAAAUGAAAAAAAGAACAUAUUUCUUAAUAGUCUUAUAAUUUUGUUGAAUAUAGUUGAAUGGAAAUAGUAAAAGGAUUUUAACAUAGCAUAAAAAUCCACUUUUUAUUAAAGAUAUAAUUGCAUUAAAGAAAAGUAUACGAUGAAGGGAAUUGCAAACAUAGUGAAAAUAAAAGAUCUUCUUACUUGCGAAAAAGAGUUAUGCAUCUUUAGCUCAACCUGUAAUAAAACCGUAAACCACUUACUACACCAUUGCAAAUUAACAGAAUUCAAAAGAUUUAUUUGUAUAUUGAUCCCAACUGAUAGCAUAUGCAAAAGUUUGAGGAAGAAGCAUGCGAUACAGGGGAGGAGGCUCAUUAAAACAUACAAAAAGCAAAAAUACUUGUCAUUAAUCUAAAAUAGAUUUAAGAAAACAAUCUGUUUUCUGCUUUCCUGCAUAUGACCUAAAAUUAGUAAAAAAAACCCAUGAAGAAAGUAAGGAAUAAAGAAAGUCAUGGUUUUAAAACUAUUUUUUUUCAUUUAUCUGUUAUUGUAAUUGAAAAAAACAUCUUUCAAAAACACAAAAUUACCCAACUAAACCAUAAAAGUUUAAGUAUGAAGUUAUAAAUCUAAUAUCAAUUUGGAAUCUAAUUCAAUGGCAAGAAAAGAUGGCAAAUGAAUGGAAUAGGAAGUGGUAUUGCAAUUUGCAUUUUAUACUUCUCUUUCUAGUCUUAAGAGACACCUGUAUGUUGUUUUUCAACAUGAUUCACCAACGCCACACUUUGACACAUGCACCACCUCCAUUGCCGCCACUACCACGACCAUUACUAUAACUAUCCUAACCAAGCACCACCAUUUGGACAAAACUGCCCCUAAAAUUCAAUAGGGAAAAUGACUUAUUAAGGUAACUAACUAUUUCAAUUGUUCAUAUAUAGGUAAUGUUCUUUUUUUUGUACACAUUAAGGUAACUAACUUGUUUUGUUUGUUCACAUUUAGGUAAUAUGACCGGCUAUCACCUGUUUUUGCUUAUGUGGCAUCCACCUGACAUAUGACUUGAAUACGUUGCACCUACGUGGCAUGGUGCAUAUAUGGAAAAAUGACUUAUUAAGGUAACUAACUAUUUCAGUUGUCCAUAUAUAGGUAAUGUUGUUUUUUUUGUACACAUUAAGGUAACUAACUUGUUCUGUUUGUUCACAUUUAGGUAAUAUGACCGACUAUCAACUGUUUUUGCUUAUGUGGCAUCCACCUGGCAUAUGACUUGAAUACGUUGUACCUACGUGGCAUGGUGCAUAUAUUGUCUUCAUUCGAUUACACUAUAACUGUGUCAUACGAUUCCACCCCUAAUUCUAAACCCUAGAUAGAUCGACGAUGGCUUCUUCUUCCUCAUCUUAUUCUUCAAAAUGAUAAGAUGAAUUUCAAGCUGAUCAUCCAUGUGAUUGCAGUUUACCAUCUCGUGUGAAGAUUUCAAGAACUCCUACAACAUAUUCAACAAUAUUGAUUUACCAUCGAGUUUUGACAAACUCUAAAUUUUCUUCCUGUGUUGUCAGGAGUUCUUGAAAUCUUCACACGAGAUGGUAAGCCACAAUCACAUGGAUGAUCAGCUUGAAAUUCAUCUUGUCGUUUUGAAGAAUAAGAUGAGGAAGAAGAAACAAAACAAGUCAUAUGCCAGGUGGAUGCCACGUAGGUGCAACGUAUUCAAGUCAUAUGCCAGGUAGAUGCCACAUAAGCAAAAACAGUUGAUAGCCGGUCAUAUUACCUAAAUGUGAACAAACAUAACAAGUUAGUUACCUUAAUGUGUACAAAAAAAAAGAACAUUACCUAUAUAUGGACAACUGAAAUAGUUAGUUACCUUAAUAAGUCAUGUUCCCAUAUAUGCACCAUGCCACGUAGGUGCAACGUAUUCAAGUCAUAUGUCAGGUGGAUGCCACAUAAGCAAAAACAGGUAAUAGCCGGUCAUAUUACCUAAAUGUGAACAAACAAAACAAGUUAGUUACCUUAAUGUGUACAAAAAAAGAACAUUACCUAUAUAUGGACAACUGAAAUAGUUAGUUACCUUAAUAAGUCAUUUUCCCAAAUUCAAUACAUGUGCAACAUAUGGAUAUAAAGAUGUAAGCCUUUUUUUCGAUAAAUCAAGAAUUGAUGAAACAUAAAACAUUACCAACUUAUACAAUUACACUAUCAACAUCAACACCUAAAGUCCCUGCAAAUAAAAUCCACAAAUAGAAUUAAAAAAAUAAGACGCAAAAUCAUUUUACAAUGAAGUCCGAAUAGCAUAGGUGAAGCAAAAAAAAUAGUAACAUAAAACUUCAAUCAAUUCAAGUGCUUACCUUUUUGUAAAAGUCGUUCUCGUGACCAAUCGAAUCCACCAGAAAACUUAUAAUCACUAUUUCACACUUGAUGGAUACAUGAGAUAGCAAAAGUCAUUAGAACGGAAGGUGGGGGAAACCGAAGGUAAACCCUAAAAAUGACAAAUGUAAAUGUAAUAAAUCAAGAGAAAUCAGAAAGUGAAAUGCAAAUCAGGUUCCUAAAUCAAACAAACCUUAUGAAAAUUAUUCUAAAAUCAAGGCGUUGAAGCAUCAACCUUCUAAUUGGGGGAAUUAAACCCUAAUCAAAGUGCUUCAUGUGAUGUUCCUGCUAUGAACUCCUAAAUCAAAACAUUGGACCUGGUCACAAAAAGAGGCAAAAUUGACCUAUUAUCCAGAAAAAGCAAACCAAAAAUAGAACUAAUACCUUAGUUAGAAGCGACGAAGAAGAUCCUAAGCAAGAGUAUUCGAAGCCGACGAAGGGAUCCCCAAAAUGACGAAGGCAAAAAAGCCAUAACGACCGAGAGAGCUACCAUUUUUCCCAAUAGAACUCUCGUAUUGUUGAUUCAAUUACCCGACCAGACUCUGACACAUCGUCGUUCCUUCCACUACCAUCAUUCUAUAGGGCUCUGAGGCAACCUUUUCGGAGGAAGACAACAAUUUAGGUUUUUUUGCUGUGCGACCUGAAAUUCCACUGAAAUAUCGUCGAUGCACUCUUUGGUGACCAUCAUCGUCGGUGCGAGUACCAUUAUACC